GACGAACGCUGGCGGCAUGCCUAAUACAUGCAAGUUGAACGAUGAUAUUCUCUGCUUGCGGAGAAUUGAAGAGUAGCGAACGGGUGAGUAACACGUGGGGAACCUGCCCAUGAGAGGGGGAUAACAUUCGGAAACGGAUGCUAAUACCGCAUAAUGCUUUGGACCGCCUGGUCCAGAGACGAAAGACGGCUUUUGCUGUCACUCAUGGAUGGCCCCGCGCCGUAUUAGCUAGUUGGUGAGGUAAUGGCUCACCAAAGCUGUGAUACGUAGCCGACCUGAGAGGGUGAUCGGCCACACUGGGACUGAGACACGGCCCAGACUCCUACGGGAGGCAGCAGUAGGGAAUCUUCCACAAUGGGCGAAAGCCUGAUGGAGCAAUGCCGCGUGAAUGAAGAAGGUCUUCGGAUCGUAAAGUUCUGUUAUUAGAGAAGAACAAGUCAAGGAGUAACUGUCUUGACUUUGACGGUACCUAACCAGAAAGUCACGGCUAACUACGUG
Molecule: ribosomal RNA, 498 nt
Filed under: uncultured bacterium
Lineage: Bacteria
Description: partial 16S ribosomal RNA
Rfam family: Bacterial small subunit ribosomal RNA
Source: RNAcentral